UACGUAGGGUGCAAGCGUUGUCCGGAUUUAUUGGGCGUAAAGAGCGUGUAGGCGGCCAGGUAGGUCGGUUGUGAAAACUGGAGGCUCAACCUUCAGAGGUCGACCGAAACCAUCUGGCUAGAGUCCGGGAGAGGAGAGUGGAAUUCCUGGUGUAGCGGUGAAAUGCGCAGAUAUCAGGAAGAACACCCGUGGCGAAAGCGGCUCUCUGGAACGGUACUGACGCUGAGACGCGAAAGCGUGGGGAGCGAACAGG
This 253-nucleotide ribosomal RNA is filed under the name uncultured bacterium. RNAcentral's name for it is "partial 16S ribosomal RNA". It matches the Rfam family "Bacterial small subunit ribosomal RNA", at positions 524 to 776 of the family's 1533-position model. The record is from RNAcentral.